CCUACGGGUGGCAGCAGUCGAGAAUUUUUCUCAAUGGGCGCAAGCCUGAAGGAGCGACGCCGCGUGGGGGAUGAAGGGUUUCGAUCCGUAAACCCCUGUCAUUUGUGAACAAUGGUCACCGGUGAACAGCCGGUGACUUGAUAGUAAUGAAAGAGGAAGGGACGGCUAACUCUGUGCCAGCAGCCGCGGUAAUACAGAGGUCCCGAGCGUUGUUCGGAUUCACUGGGCGUAAAGGGUGCGUAGGUGGCAUUCCAAGUUUGAUGUGAAAGCUUCGGGCUCAACCCGGAAAUGGCAUUGAAUACUGGAGCGCUGGAGGUUUGGAGGGGGGACUGGAAUUCUCGGUGUAGCAGUGAAAUGCGUAGAUAUCGAGAGGAACACCAGUGGCGAAGGCGAGUCCCUGGACAACACCUGACACUGAGGCACGAAAGCUCGGGGAGCAA
This 440-nucleotide ribosomal RNA is filed under the name uncultured bacterium. RNAcentral describes it as "bacterial SSU rRNA". It matches the Rfam family "Bacterial small subunit ribosomal RNA", at positions 338 to 771 of the family's 1533-position model. The record is from RNAcentral.